Molecule: transfer RNA, 76 nt
Filed under: Candidatus Levybacteria bacterium RBG_16_35_6
Lineage: Bacteria; Candidatus Levyibacteriota
Description: tRNA-Pro
Rfam family: tRNA
About the family: Transfer RNA (tRNA) molecules are approximately 80 nucleotides in length. Their secondary structure includes four short double-helical elements and three loops (D, anti-codon, and T loops).
Source: RNAcentral
CGGGGUGUAGUGAACCGGCUAUCACGCUUCGUUCGGGACGAAGAGACAUUGGGUUCAAUUCCCAACACCCCGACAA